This 1226-nucleotide ribosomal RNA is filed under the name metagenome. RNAcentral describes it as "SSU rRNA". It matches the Rfam family "Eukaryotic small subunit ribosomal RNA", at positions 558 to 1784 of the family's 1831-position model. The record is from RNAcentral.
AGUCUGGUGCCAGCACCCGCGGUAAUUCCAGCUCUAGUAGUGUAUGUUGAAGUUGCUGCAGUUAAAAAGCUCGUAGUUGGAUUUCGGAACGCGGAGGUCAAAGUCCGUCUCAACGGCGUGGCUCGGUUUCCGCUUCCUAUCUUUAGGUAGAGGCUCUCUUCCUUCACGGGUUGGGAUGUCCGCUCCUAAUCAUUUACUUUGAAAAAAUUCGCGCGCUCAAGGCAGGCGUAACUUGCUAUGAAGAUUACAGCAUGGGAUAAUGGAAUACGACUUUGGUCUUAUUUUGUUGGUUUCUAAGGCUGAGGUAAUGAUUAAUAGGGAUAGUUGGGGCCGCUUGUAUUCAGUGGCUAGAGGUGAAAUUCUAGGAUUUACUGAAGACAAACUACUGCGAAAGCAUUCCGCAAGGAUGUUUUCAUUAAUCAAGAACGAAAGUUGGGGGAUCGAAGAUGAUCAGAUACCGUCGUAGUCUCAACUAUAAACGAUGUGAACCAAGGAUCCGGUUUAGAUGAUGGAUGUCUUUCCGGGCACUGUGUGAGAAAUCAGAGUAUUUACAUUCCGGGGGGAGUAUGGUCGCAAGGCUGAAACUUAAAGGAAUUGACGGAAGGGCACCACCAGGAGUGGAACCUGCGGCUUAAUUUGACCCAACACGGGGAAACUUACCAGGUCCGGACACUUGAAGGAUUGACAGAUUGAAAGCUCUUUCUUGAUUAAGUGAGUGGUGGUGCAUGGCCGUUUUUAGUUGGUGGAGUGAUUUGUCUGGUUAAUUCCGUUAACGAACGAGACCUUAACCUAUUAAUUAGUGACGCGAACUUGGGCUUCGGCCCAUCCAGUUCGUGGACGACUUCUUAGAGGGACUCUCGGCAUCUUUAGCCGAUGGAAGUUUGAGGCAAAAACAGGUCUGUGAUGCCCUUCGAUGCCCUGGGCCGCACGCGCGUUACACUGACUAUUUCAACGAGUUCUUCCUUGCCAGAAGUUGGCUAGGUAAGCUGAAAAGGUAGUCGUGAUGGGGAUUGAACAUUGCAAUUAUUGUUCAUGAACGAGGAAUUCCUUGUAGGCGUGGUUCAUCAGACCACGCCGAAUACGUCCCUGCCCUUUGUACACACCGCCCGUCGCUCCUACCGAUUGGAAGCUUCGGUGAGAACUCGGGAUGAGAGCACUUUAGCUUAUCAGAAAUGGUAAGCGGGUGCAUUCAGAACUUGUUCAAACCUCAGUUUCUAGAGGAAGGA